This 253-nucleotide ribosomal RNA is filed under the name uncultured bacterium. Its description in RNAcentral is "partial 16S ribosomal RNA". It matches the Rfam family "Bacterial small subunit ribosomal RNA", at positions 524 to 776 of the family's 1533-position model. The record is from RNAcentral.
UACGGGGGGGGCAAGCGUUGUUCGGAAUUACUGGGCGUAAAGGGCUCGUAGGUGGCCAACUAAGUCAGACGUGAAAUCCCUCAGCUUAACUGGGGAACUGCGUCUGAUACUGGAUGGCUUGAGUUUGGGAGAGGGAUGCGGAAUUCCAGGUGUAGCGGUGAAAUGCGUAGAUAUCGAGAGGAACACCUGCGGCGAAGGCGGGUAGCUGGGCCGACACUGACGCUGAUGCGCGAAAGCCAGGGGAGCGAACGGG